UGAGGAAUAUUGGACAAUGGGGGCAACCCUGAUCCAGCCAUGCCGCGUGAGUGAAGAAGGCCUUCGGGUUGUAAAGCUCUUUCGGCGGGGACGAAACGGUCCGUGACAACACCACGGACUAAUGACAGUACUCGCAGAAGAAGCACCGGCUAACUACGUGCCAGCAGCCGCGGUAAUACGUAGGGUGCAGGCGUUAAUCGGAAUUACUGGGCGUAAAGCGUGCGCAGGCGGCUCCUUAAGUCAGAUGUGAAAUCCCCGGGCUUAACCUGGGAACUGCGUUUGAAACUGAGGGGCUAGAGUGUGGAAGAGGGGGGUGGAAUUCCAGGUGUAGCAGUGAAAUGCGUAGAGAUCUGGAGGAACACCGAUGGCGAAGGCAGCCCCCUGGGCUAACACUGACGCUCAUGCACGAAAGCGUGGGGAGCAAACAGGAUUAGAUACCCGCGUAGUCCCUGAGCGGGCUGGCAAGGCGCAU
Molecule: ribosomal RNA, 472 nt
Filed under: uncultured bacterium
Lineage: Bacteria
Description: bacterial SSU rRNA
Rfam family: Bacterial small subunit ribosomal RNA
Source: RNAcentral